UAGGGAAGAUAAUGCUAGAAUUAGUAAUAAGAGGGAAAGACCCUCUCCCGGCACAGUCGUAAGUCAGGCAGGACUGCCCACUGACAAGUAACGGACCCAAAAUGAAGGAAGCGCAACACAAACAAGAAAAACAAGCCCGCCCUGCCCUAACCCCCGUUACCCCGACACAGGAGUGCCCCCGGGAAAGACUAAAAGGAAGAGAAGGAACUCGGCAAACCCAAACCUCGCCUGUUUACCAAAAACAUCGCCUCUCGCUAACAAUGAAGUAUUAGAGGUCCCGCCUGCCCUGUGACGUAAGUGUUUAACGGCCGCGGUAUUUUAACCGCGCGAAGGUAGCGUAAUCACCUGUCUUUUAAAUGGAGACCUGUAUGAAUGGCAUAACGAAGGUUUAACUGUCUCCUCUCCCCGGUCAGUGAAAUUGAUCUGCCCGUGCAGAAGCGGGCCCAGCAACAUAAGACGAGAAGACCCUAUGGAGCUUUAGGCAUACACCCAAGCGCCCCAAGCCCCUCCAAUACGAUAUGCAAUGAGCGUGGAAAGCGAGCGCCCCUGGGUGAGUGAGCCUUCGGUUGGGGCGACCGUGGAGGAAAAAAAAGCCUCCAAGAAGAAUAAGGAAAACCCUUAAGCCAAGAAAGACAUCUCUAAGCAACAGAAACUCUGACUACGUGUGACCCAGUAACUAACUGAUCAACGAACCAAGUUACCCUAGGGAUAACAGCGCAAUCCUUUCCCAGAGUCCAUAUCGACGAAAGGGCUUACGACCUCGAUGUUGGAUCAGGGCAUCCUAAUGGUGCAGCAGCUAUUAAGGGUUCGUUUGUUCAACGAUUAACAGCCCUACGUGAUCUGAGUUCAGACCGGAGUAAUCCAGGUCGGUUUCUAUCUAUGAGUUGACCUAUUUCUAGUACGAAAGGACCGAGAUAGGAGGGCCAAGACUACAACAGCAAGCCCUAUCCCAACCCACUGAUACCAUAUGAAAUGG
RNAcentral lists this ribosomal RNA (976 nucleotides) under Scuticaria tigrina (spotted snake moray). Its description in RNAcentral is "partial 16S ribosomal RNA". It matches the Rfam family "Bacterial large subunit ribosomal RNA", at positions 1283 to 2788 of the family's 2925-position model. The record is from RNAcentral. Lineage: Eukaryota; Metazoa; Chordata; Actinopteri; Anguilliformes; Muraenidae.